RNAcentral lists this small RNA (482 nucleotides) under Caenorhabditis elegans. RNAcentral's name for it is "Unclassified non-coding RNA F54A3.12". Lineage: Eukaryota; Metazoa; Nematoda; Chromadorea; Rhabditida; Rhabditidae. The record is from RNAcentral.
GGUAGUGCCAUUUCUGAUCAAACGUGCCAAGGAUAAGAAGAAGAACGUGAGAGAUGCGAUUUUGGCGGCAAUGGGUGCUGUGGCUGAUACGGUACGGCGGAAUUUUGGCAAAAAAUUCGAAAAAAAUUGGAUUUCUGCGCGAAAAUCCGGGAAAUUUUGAUAAAAAUCUGACUUUUCUGGAAUUUUUUAGUGAAAAAUCCAAUUUUUUCGCUGAAAAAUCUAUAAAAAUGACCCAAAAAUCGGUUUUUUCAGCUGAAAAUCUGGAAAAUUACGCUAAAAAAUCGAUAAAAACCGCAAUUUUCUCAGAUUUUCCGUAUUUUCAGACAACUUCCGAGCGUCUCCAAAAGGAUCUUAUCGAUUGGUUCGGAAUUCCGUCUCCAGAGUCAAAAAAGACACUUUUACACUUUCUUUACGCAUAUUUCUGCCGCCAAUGCACACCGGAUAUCCAAUUUAUUAAGACGAUCGCUCCGUUGAUUGUUAAG